Molecule: long non-coding RNA, 6256 nt
Filed under: Linum usitatissimum (flax)
Lineage: Eukaryota; Viridiplantae; Streptophyta; Magnoliopsida; Malpighiales; Linaceae
Description: long non-coding RNA (LUSI_LNC005667)
Source: RNAcentral
UUUUCUCUUUUUUUUCCAGACAACCUCCCAUUCUUUUUGCAUCUCUCCUUUCUGUUUUUUUCUUCUCCAUCCUCCUCUCCUUUUUUUCUUCUCCGAUUGGUGUAUAAAAGCUACAGAUCUUCAUUGAAAAAGCAUUUUAUUCAAUCGCUCUUCCCUUAAUUGCUCACUCAAGCUAUGACCGAUCUUCACAAAAGAGGCCCUAUUUCAAAACCCUUGCUCUCCCAUCAAACUAUGUUUUUAUAGUGUUUAUUCAAUUGCUCUUCCUUAACGUUGUGCAGCUUGAUUAUGGUAGUGAUUAUCAUUGAUAGCUCUUCUUCUCCUCUGUAUCUGACACUGCGUAGGCUCAUCACUCUUGAUUCCGUGGAAGCUCAAUAGCCUAGGUUCCUCCCAUUUGUCCUCUCUUCUGAUUUGCUCUAUGCUAUAUUAUUACCUUGUUUUGAGUUUUAAGAUUGUGCGAGUAUUAUUUGUUGAGAUUCCGAAUCUAGAUUUCUGGGUGGUUCAUGAAAUUGGAGAUGUGAUAGACAAUGAUCUAUUUUAAAGUUUUUCUGGUGGAGAUACCAUACAGAUGCAGCUCCAUAAAAAACUCAGCAAUCAUAUAUUUUUUCCUUUUUUUGUGUUUUGUAUCUUUAUAAUACAGAUAUCCAAUAUGUGCUUCAACUGCAUUUUACAUAGAGUUUACUUCGCCUUUGAUUUUUUAAUAUAUUAAAUAAUUCAUCUUACUUACUUUUGAUGAUGUUCCAAUUGGAGGGCCAACCGAGAAAAAAAAGCUUAAUUUCCUUUCAAUAAUAGAAAUUCAUUUACUUAUCCUCAUGACAUCAUGAAUAUUUCUGGUACAUGAUUCAGCUGCUUUUCUCCAAGCUGCUUCUAAAUUAAAUGGACAUGAUCCAGUCUUCUAUACAUUGUUGGAGUGAAGCAAGUGCAAGCAUUACUCUGUGGUAAGACUGAGAUCCAACUUUCAUUUAAUCGAUUCAAACAUAAAGCUAAUGCAUUUCGUUAUAAAAUUAUGUGUCUCCUCACCUAAACUUUUUUAAGGAUGCAGUAGAAGAUCUCAAGUGUUUGGUAGCAAUGAGUACAUCUAUUUGCUCAUAAAGGUGAGACCUCUUUCCAUUUUUUUUAGUUUAAGGGGUUUUUUUGGUUUCAUUUCAAUGUUGUUUCUCUCUUUGUUGUAUUUUGGUUUAGAUUUGUUCCUACUUGAUUGUUGGCUCUAUCAUUGUAAGGUUUUUUGCUGCUUUGGUAUUAGCUUUCAAUUCAGGUUUUCAUGUUCGAUUUUUGGUUUUGUGAAGAUCAAAUCUAGGCGUGUGGUCAAUCUAGCUUCAAGAAACCUUCUAAAUUUUGUAAGUGCAUUCUUAUGCCUUGGUUUCCGGAACUCAAGUGGCUUCCAAGGUAUACAUUCAUUAAUAAAAUUGGCAAGGUUGUGGAAGGCGAAAGGCGGUAGUAAGGCGGUGAGGUCCUGCCUUACGACUUGGCCGAUUAGGCCUUUUUUGAAAAAAAUAUAAUAGAUUUAAGUGAAAUAAACAAGUUCAAACAUAACAGUGCAGAGUUCACAGAGUUACAGUUUUGUAAUUGAUAAAGUUCAAGAUGAUUAAUGUUCAAGUUCUAACAUAGAAGAAUACACACAUAAGAUAAACCAUAAAUGCAUAAGAUAAGCCAUAAAGGCGAUAUCAAGCUCAUAGCUUGGUAAGUCGUCAAUACUCUUCAUCAUCCUCGAAAGCGAUCGAGUCUAUUUCCUUGUUAUUCUCUUCUUCUUUGGAAUCAAACUCUUCAUCAUGACGCUCUCUCACUAGUCUUGCGCUCCUACGCGGUUCACGACUCUCACUAGCUCCAAUUGCAUCAUCAAUAACACUCCAUGGGAUGCCGUCGUGUCCUCCAUCGUCUNNNNNNNNNNNNNNNNNNNNNNNNNNNNNNNNNNNNNNNNNNNNNNNNNNNNNNNNNNNNNNNNNNNNNNNNNNNNNNNNNNNNNNNNUGCAUGUCUCCUCCCUCAUAUAUGAAUCCUUGAGCUUCAACUGAAUCAGAGCUGAUGAGAACAUUAACAUUCUUCCUAUCCUUUAUCUUCCUCUGUUUGGACAUCAAUCUGGAGUUGAACUGAAUGUACACUAGUUGAUUGAGGCAAUUUGUUGUAAGCCUAUUCCUUCUCUUAGUAUGAAUCUACCAAAACAAUUGACUAUAUGAGCUUGCAUCUAAUAUCCACUUUUCCACAAUAGCAAUGACAUUAGAUAAAGAAUUGAAGACUAACCGACUCCAAAGUGCUCCAAUUUCUCUCACAAGCAGAAGAAGUUGAGGUUAAUGACAUUAUCCUUAUAGCCAUCCUCUGCAAAUGUGGUGUCUCACCUCCAUACAUUCUCCACCAAGCAACUAAGUAGACAAUGAAAUAUAAAUUAGCUCAUGAGAAUAAAUCAUAAAUGAUAAGAAAAUGAGGGAAUAAGUACUAACCAGGAUUGUAAUCAAAGUUCUCACAAAACCUUGCUAACUUCUUUCCAAAGUGUCCUUCUUUCUUUUGAAAUAUGGUGAACUCAAUGUUCACCGCCUGAUCGUGUAUAUCCUCCUCACAAACAUAGUAGAAUUUCUUAANNNNNNNNNNNNNNNNNNNNNNNNNNNNNNNNNNNNNNNNNNNNNNNNNNNNNNNNNNNNNNNNNNNNNNNNNNNNNNNNNNNNNNNNNNNNNNNGUUAUUGAAUAUUGAUGGGUCGACAUAGCUGUAGUGAGGAUUCAAGAGAUAUGCUGUUAAAUGCAAUAGAGUAUCAAGUAUACCUUUCAUCUUCUUCUCCAUAAUAGCAAUGACUUCUUUGCAUCAUAGUUCCUCUCUAAUUAACGCCUCCUUUAGCUCUCUCUUUGUCUUUAGAAGUUCCCCAUACACAAAACCCAUCGAAGGUUUCACAUCUCCAUCGACCAAUCGAAGUAGUUUGACCAAUGGCUCAAAGACUUUCAAGCAAGUCUCCACACCAUUCCAAAACCCCAUCCUAAGAAUUGUGGCAUAAGCAUUCUGGCCUUUCUUUGUACUUGUCUCGUUAAUAGAAGUCCACUUUGAAUCCACCGCCAUCUUCUUCAAUUAAUCUUUCUUUUCCAUCAAGCUUUGUAAAGUAAGAAACUAAGAAGCAAAUCGAGUAAUACCUGGUCGAAUGAUCUCUCUUAUCUUAGUGAAGGACCUCAUCAACUUUAAAGUUCGGUGAUGACCAUAUAUGAAGAUGGUGAAAGCCUUAGCCUCAUCAAUAAUUUUCUUGAACUUUAGAAUGUUGCCAAUUCCUUGGAGCAUUAAAUUGAUAGUUUGAGUUGCACAAGAAUUCCAAAAUAUGUGUGACCUGUUCUUCUCCAAGAGAUUCUUUGAUGUCAUGUUGUUGGAAGCAUUGUCUGUCACAACUUAAAUGACAUGCUCAUCUCCAACUUCCUCAAUGGCAUUGUCAACUAGCUCAAAAAUAAACUCACCUGUGUGAGAAAUAUUUGAAGUGUCUGUAGACUUUAUGAAGCUAGUCCCCUCAGCACAGUGUGUGACUAUGUUCAUUAUACUCCGCCUCUUCAUGUCCGUCCAAGCAUCAGUCAUAAGCGAGCAACCGUUCUUUUCCUUCUCUUUUGAGCUACCGUUCUUUUCCUUCUCUGUCACGGCUAGCUUACAAGCCCUUUGUUCUUGCAUAUUCAUCUUUCAACAAAGUCUCUCGAAGGUCGUACGGAGAAGGAGGUUUCAAUCCAGGACCGAAUUGACCAAUGACCUCACACAUUUGCCUGAAUUCGUCAUUGUCAAUGGCAUUGAAUGGAAUAGCUGUAAUAAAAGUUCACAUACUUAAUUAGAAAAAAUGAUUAGAAAAAAUGAACUUGUGUUUGUAAGGAAGAAAUGAGUGGCAUAGCUAGGAACUAACCAUGUGUAUACACCCAUUUUGCAAUGUAUUGAUGGACUUGAAGUGUCCUCUCUUUCCAAAGUGCUUGGUUUAUCUUCUGCUGAUGGAGUGUUGUUAUUGGAGAAAUCACAGUAGGACCUAUAGGACGUGCCCACUUAUCUAUAUGACCAAGCUAGUCGGUCUCGAGCUAUCAAAAUAACUCAUCUCCUCUUCAUGUUGUGCAUCAGAAGAAACAUUAACAUCCUCUCUUAGAACUUGUUCAUGUUCAUGCUUCUCUUUCUUCUUCUUUUGAAAGCUCGAGAAGUAUUCCAAGCAUUCAUCACGAGCUUCUUUGGGGCAUUUUGUGCAUUUAGCCACUGAAGAUCCAAUACCAGCUAUGUGUUGCUUGAAACGGUUUACACCUCCACUGCUAACAUGUUUACAAAAGUUGCACUUGACUUUGUCUUUGUUAUUCGGAUCAGCGAUUUUUCUGUAUUUCCAACCGAUAUCACCCGACCAUCUUUUCAGGCCACUAGUACUACUACUAUCAACUUGUGUACCGUCUACUCCCGAUGAAUCUGCCAUGGCAAUCCUGCAUCACCAGUCACCAAUCACCAAAUUUAACAAACUCAUGAAAAUUCUCACUCACAGUCCUUCACAACAACUUGUGUUAGAGAUCAGAGAACAAGAAUAGAUACGUUAUUUGGAUAAGGGCAAAGCUUCCAUUUGAAAAACAUGCUGGAAUUAUCAUUAUCUAUUACCAGUUAUGUUAUGUAUUUAAUCUCCAGCGAUGUACACAGAGGAAGAGGGUAAACAAGGCAAGCGAUUUCCAGCGAUUUACAGAAACAGGGUUUACAGAAACAAUUCCAGCGAUUUCCAGCGAUGUACACAGAGGAAGAGGUGAAGCAGUCACCUUGGUUCAUUGGUAGGAGUCGGCGACGGCAAGGAGGAGUGAGGACCGCCGGUGGAAUCGACGGCAGGGAGGAGUGAGGACCAUCGGUGGUUGGCGUCGAUCGUCUGCAAUCUGCACAGAGAGGAGAUGAAGGAGGAUGAAGGUGAGAACGCGUCGAUCGCCUGCACUCUACAGUCCGCGUUUUAGGUUUUUUUUUUUAAAUCCGCGCAGUCCGCCUUUUCCGUCUACUCCCCGAUUCAGCACCGAUUCCGCGUCGUCUCACCGAUUCAGCGUCGAUUCCGCGCAGCUCCGCCUUAAUCAGGCCGCCUCGCGCUAAUUGCGGCGUUUUCUUUCCGUCCUGCCGACUUUUCUGCUUAGACAGCCGCCUAGGCGUGCCUUCUCGAACACUGGAAAUUGGAUGAUGAUUGAAUUAUUCGUUUCAUAUUCAAGUGGGUCAUCGUGUGAUAAAUUAAAUUGGAAGCCAAGUCGGUAAGAGAGUGGGACGAUGUGUUCUACUCUUGCAUUCAUUAAAUAGGUUUAUGCACAUUCCUCAUUUAAUAGAUAGUACUUAAGAAGAUUCUCAAAUAUAUUUUUCACUUUAAAUAUUGCUACAAUUCAUGUCGUUCACCUUAUUUAGAGAGGUUUCAGUCUUAAACUUUUUAUUUUUCUGUUAUCUAUUCCCAAUUCAGUUGUAGUUCCAGAAUUAAGAGUUCAUUAAUGUCGUAAAGUAUUUCACAAUACUGAUUCGAUGGCUUCAACGGAUGUUUCCAUCAGGGCUGUUGGAUAUACUGAGUUGCACGCAUUAGCUUAGUUCCCCUGGAAACAUGAUAAACUGAGUUGAAAGCAUUAAUUUACUGUUCCAUCAGGCUACUGUUGCAUUAGUUUGGUGUUUCCAUUAGGGCUGAAAAUGGACCUUUGCUUAUGAUGCUCUUGGUUAGUAAUUUCCUUCUGUUUCAGUGUAAUCUAAUAGACUCGCUGUGUUCAUCCUAGCAAAAUUUGUUCCUAGGUGUGGCUAAUGAAUGGAGAAGUACCAAUUACCAGGAAAGAAGUAGGAAACAAAGGGACUUGCUUGUGAUUCAAUGUUUCUCUCUGUGUCUACUUCACAUAUAAAGGAACUGCAUCCCGUUACAUUCUGGCCAUCUUCCAAACGAGAAGCUUUUACAAAUAAUGAUGAUGUAUAUAUAAAGAGGAAGAAAGAAGGAAAGUACAUGAGCGACCAAUUAAAAAGCAAUUGUACCAAUGUUGAGAGGAUCAAGAUAAAGAUCCACCUUUCUUUCAUUUUGUGAGCCCAUCCAUCUAUUGGUUCCAUUCAUCAAUCAAAUCCAUCAAAUGUCAUUUUGUUAAUCACAACUGAAAGCUUCAUUCCAUACAUAUUAAUGCAACUUAAAUAUUUUAUUUAAGACGUGUAAUAAGUUUUACCUCCUACAGUAAAUUUGAAUUAACAUAAAACCUCCAAUUUUAAACAAUUCCAAUCACUGAAUAAUCUGUUAUUCCCGUGGUUAAAUACUUUUGAGGGACAUAUAAAGAGAUUUAAACAUUCAAUCUGUAAUUCUUUAUUAU